UACGUAGGGUCCGAGCGUUGUCCGGAUUUAUUGGGCGUAAAGAGCUCGUAGGCGGUUCCGUAAGUCGGAUGUGAGAACUCAGGGCUCAACCCGGAGACGCCAUCUGAUACUGCGGUGACUGGAGUCUGGUAGGGGAUCACGGAAUUCCUGGUGUAGCGGUGAAAUGCGCAGAUAUCAGGAGGAACACCAAUUGCGAAGGCAGCUCGCUGGGACGUUACUGACGCUGAGACGCGAAAGCGUGGGGAGCAAACAGG
This 254-nucleotide ribosomal RNA is filed under the name uncultured bacterium. Its description in RNAcentral is "partial 16S ribosomal RNA". It matches the Rfam family "Bacterial small subunit ribosomal RNA", at positions 524 to 776 of the family's 1533-position model. The record is from RNAcentral.